RNAcentral lists this ribosomal RNA (211 nucleotides) under uncultured bacterium. RNAcentral describes it as "partial 16S ribosomal RNA". It matches the Rfam family "Bacterial small subunit ribosomal RNA", at positions 1290 to 1500 of the family's 1533-position model. The record is from RNAcentral.
AGUUCGGAUUGUAGUCUGCAACCCGACUACAUGAAGCUGGAAUCGCUAGUAAUCGCGGAUCAGAAUGCCGCGGUGAAUACGUUCCCGGGUCUUGUACACACCGCCCGUCACACCAUGGGAGCCGGGAAUGCCCGAAGUCGGUGACCUAACCGAAAGGAAGGAGCCGCCGAAGGCAGGUCUGGUAACUGGGGUGAAGUCGUAACAAGGUAUC